UACAGAGGGUGCGAGCGUUAAUCGGAUUUACUGGGCGUAAAGCGUGUGUAGGCGGCUUUUUAAGUCGGAUGUGAAAUCCCCGAGCUUAACUUGGGAAUUGCAUUCGAUACUGUUGGGCUUGAGGAAGGUAGAGGAGAGUGGAAUUCCCGGUGUAGCGGUGGAAUGCGCAGAUAUCGGGAGGAACACCAGCGGCGAAGGCGGCUCUCUGGUCUGUAACUGACGCUGAGGCGCGAAAGCGUGGGGAGCGAACAGG
RNAcentral lists this unclassified non-coding RNA (253 nucleotides) under uncultured Nitriliruptoraceae bacterium. RNAcentral describes it as "contains 16S-23S intergenic spacer region". It matches the Rfam family "Bacterial small subunit ribosomal RNA", at positions 524 to 776 of the family's 1533-position model. Lineage: Bacteria; Bacillati; Actinomycetota; Nitriliruptoria; Nitriliruptorales; Nitriliruptoraceae. The record is from RNAcentral.